RNAcentral lists this ribosomal RNA (254 nucleotides) under uncultured bacterium. Its description in RNAcentral is "partial 16S ribosomal RNA". It matches the Rfam family "Bacterial small subunit ribosomal RNA", at positions 524 to 776 of the family's 1533-position model. The record is from RNAcentral.
UACAGAGGUCUCAAGCGUUGUUCGGAUUCAUUGGGCGUAAAGGGUGCGUAGGUGGCGCGCUAAGUCAGGUGUGAAAUUUCGGAGCUCAACUCCGAAACUGCAUUUGAUACUGGCGUGCUUGAGGACUGGAGAGGAGACUGGAAUUUACGGUGUAGCAGUGAAAUGCGUAGAGAUCGGAAGGAACAUCAAUGGCGAAGGCAGCCGCCUGGGCCUGGACUGACACUGACAGCGCGAAAGCCAGGGGAGCAAACGGG